GCCUUCUGGUUGUAAAGCUCUUUCGCUAGGAAGAAAACUUACAUUCUAGUAAAGUGUGAGGCUGACGGUACCUUGAUAAGAAGCACCGGCUAACUACGUGCCAGCAGCCGCGGUAAUACGUANGGUGCGAGCGUUAAUCGGAAUUACUGGGCGUAAAGCGUGCGCAGGCGGUUUUGUAAGUCAGAUGUGAAAUCCCCGAGCUCAACUUGGGAACUGCGUUUGAAACUACAAGACUAGAAUAUGUCAGAGGGGGGUAGAAUUCCACGUGUAGCAGUGAAAUGCGUAGAGAUGUGGAGGAAUACCAAUGGCGAAGGCAGCCCCCUGGGAUAAUAUUGACGCUCAUGCACGAAAGCGUGGGGAGCAAACAGGAUUAGAUACCCUGGUAGUCCACGCCCUAAACGAUGUCUACUAGUUGUUGGUGGAGUAANAUCCAUGAGUAACGCAGCUAANGCGUGAAGUAGACCGCCUGGGGAGUACGGUCGCAAGAUUAAACUCAAAGGAAUUGACGG
Molecule: ribosomal RNA, 509 nt
Filed under: uncultured Methylophilus sp.
Lineage: Bacteria; Pseudomonadati; Pseudomonadota; Betaproteobacteria; Nitrosomonadales; Methylophilaceae
Description: bacterial SSU rRNA
Rfam family: Bacterial small subunit ribosomal RNA
Source: RNAcentral